UAGCAUUUUAUUUUAAACUACCCUCUG
RNAcentral lists this transfer RNA (27 nucleotides) under Merluccius merluccius (European hake). Its description in RNAcentral is "partial tRNA-Pro". Lineage: Eukaryota; Metazoa; Chordata; Actinopteri; Gadiformes; Merlucciidae. The record is from RNAcentral.